GCAAUUAUUUUCUACACAUUUUUGAGUAUAUCCAUAUGUAAAUUUACAAAUACAACAUACAUUUUUAUUUAAAAGUUUUUUUAUUUUAUCUUUUAUAAUUAUUUUAUUUGUACCAUUACCGUUAAUAUUUUUAUUGUUGUUAUUAUUGUUGUUAUUGUUAUUGUUGUUAUUGUUAUUGUUGUUAUUGUUGUUGUUUUUAUUGUUGUUGUUAUUGUUGUUUUUUGUCCUAUUGUUAGUGCUGACCUUGUUUAUAUUGUUAAUUUUAUUGUUCAUACUGGCUCUUUGGCUAGCUCUAGUUAAGUUAUAUAAACUUAUGUUAGAAUUUUUUUUAUGAUGGCUUAUAGUAGUAUUAUUAAUAAUAUUAUUAGAAUUUUUAUUAACACCAUUAUUAAUACCAUUAUUAAUGCCAUUAUUAAUACCAUUAUUAAUACUGUUGUUACUACUACAACUACUACUAUUCCUACUCGGUGCUCUAACUUCAGGUAUUGCUAUUUGUAUAUUAUUCUUUUUAGUUAUUCCACGUGUAUUCAUACCACUUGUAUAAGUAUAACAUCUUCCUCUAGUUUGAUUUGUUUUACCUGUAUCUUUUAUAACACUUACCACCGAGUUAGUGUUGUCAUACCCUGUACUUGUUCUUGUUGCUGUUCUCGUUGUUGUUACUGUUGUUGUUGCUGUGGUUGUUUCUGUUGCUAUAGUUGUUUCUGUUGUUGUGGUUGUUUCUGUUGCUGUGGUUGUUUCUGUUCCUGUUCUUGUUCCUGUUCCUGUUCCUGUUCCUGUUCCUGUUCCUGUUCCUGUUCNNNNNNNNNNUUCCUGUUCCUGUUCCUGUUCCUGUUCCUGUUCCUGUUCCUGUUCCUAUUCCUGUGGCUGUUUCUGUUAUUGCUCCUGUGGCUAUCUUUGCCGUUACUGUUCCUGUUUUAUCUACCGGUUCUGCUGAUGAUGUUAUUACUGUAUUACUUUUAUUGUCGUCGUCCUCCUCCUUGUUGUUGUUGUUGUUGUUGUUGUUGUUGUUGUUGUUGUCAUAUUUCGUUGUUCUUAUAUUAACCCUGUUACUACCAUAUAUAGAAAAGCAUUUUCUAGGUUUGCAAUAUUUUUUUGCAUAUAUAUUAAUACUUUCAGUCGAUUGGUGAUGGGCAGAUAUUGAAGAUGAUAAACUAUUACCUUUCGUGUUGUUUUUAUUUUCAUCUAAAUCAUAAUAAAUGUUACUGUAACUGUUAUAACGUUUAUUAC
Molecule: long non-coding RNA, 1227 nt
Filed under: Piliocolobus tephrosceles (Ugandan red Colobus)
Lineage: Eukaryota; Metazoa; Chordata; Mammalia; Primates; Cercopithecidae
Description: lncRNA (ENSPTEG00000010798.1)
Source: RNAcentral